RNAcentral lists this ribosomal RNA (459 nucleotides) under Escherichia coli. RNAcentral's name for it is "partial 23S ribosomal RNA". It matches the Rfam family "Bacterial large subunit ribosomal RNA", at positions 2240 to 2698 of the family's 2925-position model. The record is from RNAcentral. Lineage: Bacteria; Pseudomonadati; Pseudomonadota; Gammaproteobacteria; Enterobacterales; Enterobacteriaceae.
CCGGGUUGCGGACAGUGUCUGGUGGGUAGUUUGACUGGGGCGGUCUCCUCCUAAAGAGUAACGGAGGAGCACGAAGGUUGGCUAAUCCUGGUCGGACAUCAGGAGGUUAGUGCAAUGGCAUAAGCCAGCUUGACUGCGAGCGUGACGGCGCGAGCAGGUGCGAAAGCAGGUCAUAGUGAUCCGGUGGUUCUGAAUGGAAGGGCCAUCGCUCAACGGAUAAAAGGUACUCCGGGGAUAACAGGCUGAUACCGCCCAAGAGUUCAUAUCGACGGCGGUGUUUGGCACCUCGAUGUCGGCUCAUCACAUCCUGGGGCUGAAGUAGGUCCCAAGGGUAUGGCUGUUCGCCAUUUAAAGUGGUACGCGAGCUGGGUUUAGAACGUCGUGAGACAGUUCGGUCCCUAUCUGCCGUGGGCGCUGGAGAACUGAGGGGGGCUGCUCCUAGUACGAGAGGACCGGAGU